GAUGAACGCUGGCGGCGUGCCUAAUACAUGCAAGUCGAGCGGUAAGGCCCUUUCGGGGGUACACGAGCGGCGGACGGCUGAGUAACACGUAGGAACGUACCCCAAACUAAGGGAUAAGCACCGGAAACGGUGUCUAAUACCGCAUGUGAUCUUCGGAUUAAAGCUUUAUGCGCUUUGGGAGCGGCCUGCGUAAGAUUAGCUUGUUGGUGAGGUAAGAGCUCACCAAGGCGACGAUCUUUAGCUGGUCUGAGAGGAUGAUCAGCCGGACUGGGACUGAGACACGGCCCAGACUCCUACGGGAGGCAGCAGUAGGGAAAUUUGCGCAAUGGGGGAAACCCUGAAGCAGCAACGCCGCGUGCGGGAUGAAGGCCUUCGGGUUGUAAACCGCUUUUAUCAGGGACGAUGAUGACGGUACCUGAUGAAUAAGUCACGGCUAACUACGUGCCAGCCGCCGCCGUAA
This 460-nucleotide ribosomal RNA is filed under the name uncultured bacterium. Its description in RNAcentral is "partial 16S ribosomal RNA". It matches the Rfam family "Bacterial small subunit ribosomal RNA", at positions 28 to 523 of the family's 1533-position model. The record is from RNAcentral.